This 1282-nucleotide ribosomal RNA is filed under the name uncultured organism. RNAcentral's name for it is "bacterial SSU rRNA". It matches the Rfam family "Bacterial small subunit ribosomal RNA", at positions 89 to 1399 of the family's 1533-position model. The record is from RNAcentral.
ACAUCAGUGGCAGACGGGUGAGUAACACGUAGGUAACCUGCCCUCGAGACGGGGAUAACGGGUGGAAACGGUCGCUAAGACCCGAUAUAGUCUGACCUUCGUGAGGAGGUGAGAGGAAAGGCUUCGGUGCUCGGGGAGGGGCCUGCGGCCCAUCAGCUAGUUGGAGAGGUAACGGUUCCCCAAUGCAAUGACGGGUACGGGGUGUGAGAGCAUGGCCCCCCACACUGGGACUGAGACACGGCCCAGACUCCUACGGGAGGCAGCAGCCGGGAAUAUUGCGCAAGGGACGGAAGUCUGACGCAGCGACGCCGCGUGGAUGACGAAGGCCUUCGGGUUGUAAAAUCCUUUACCGGGCGAUGAGGAAGGACACUAGCCUGGGAAUAAGCGUCGGUUAACUAUGUGCCAGGAGCCGCGGUAAGACUUAGGACGCUAGCGUUAUCCGGAUUUACUGGGCUUAAAGCGCCUGCAUGCGGUCAGGUAAGUCGGUUGUGACAGCCCCGUGCUCAACGCCGGGGAGCCCAAAGCGAUACUGCUUGACUUGAGGCCGUAAGAGGGGAGUGGAAUUCCCGGUGUACCGGUAAUAUGCGCAGAUAUCGGGAGGAACACCAGUGGCGAAGACGGCUCCCUGGACCGCGCCUGACGCUCAGAGGCGAAAGCUAGGGGAGCGAACAGGAUUAGAGACCCUGGUAGUCCUAGCCCUAAACGCUGGAUGCUAGGUGUAGGGCUGAUGAGGCUCUGUGCCGGAGCGAACGCGAUAAGCAUCCCGCCUGGGAACUACGGCCGCAAGGCUAAAACUCAAACGAAUUGACGGGGACCCGCACAAGCAGCGGAGCGUGUGGUUUAAUUCGAUGCUACACGAAGAACCUUACCUGGGUUUGACAUGUUGGUGGUACCGAACCGAAAGGGGAGGGACCCUUCGGGGAGCCAACACAGGUGCUGCAUGGCUGUCGUCAGCUCGUGCCGUGAGUUGUCGGGUUAACUCCCGUAACGAGCGCAACCCUUGCUCGUAGUUAUACGUGUCUAAGGGGACUGCCGGCGACAAGCCGGAGGAAGCUGGGGAUGACGUCAAGUCAGCAUGGCCUUGAUAUCCAGGGCUACACACACGCUACAAUGGCCGGUACAAAGGGCAGCCAAGCCGCGAGGUGGAGCGAAUCCCAGCAAAGCCGGUCACAGUUCGGAUUGCAGGCUGCAACCCGCCUGCAUGAAGUUGGAGUUGCUAGUAACCGCGUGUCAGCCAUACUGCGGUGAAUACGUACCCGGGUCUUGUACACACCGCCCGUCA